Molecule: non-coding RNA, 75 nt
Organism: Streptomyces sp. NBRC 110611
Lineage: Bacteria; Bacillati; Actinomycetota; Actinomycetes; Kitasatosporales; Streptomycetaceae
Source: Rfam
CUUCACCGAACCGAGCAGCAGCGGGUGUUCGGGGUCGCGGCCCUGUCCGUACGUGGCCAGCAGCGCCUGCGCCUC